This 891-nucleotide long non-coding RNA is filed under the name Anser brachyrhynchus (Pink-footed goose). RNAcentral describes it as "lncRNA (ENSABRG00000017075.1)". The record is from RNAcentral. Lineage: Eukaryota; Metazoa; Chordata; Aves; Anseriformes; Anatidae.
AUGUGGUUGCCAAAGAAAUUGUUGAGGAAAUGUAUCAAUCAGAAUGUAAAAUCACGUCUGGAAAGUCGGAAGUCCUGGAAUUACACCUACUCAUUUUGCAGCCCCUGUCUGAUAAAUAUUGCUGGAAGUGCGUUUCUGAAGUGCCGGGAUGCGGCCGUUCCCUCCUCUGCCGAACACCAAACUGCUUCCACCUCCCCUUGUCCUAGCACCUCAGUGCAGAACACAACCUCUCAACUCUUUGAAACUGAGGUCCAUCUAGUGGGCACCGCUGGAUAUUACAUCAGCAAGAAAGUCAGCUUCUUAAAAGGUUCAUACCUACAUCCUGAUGAUGCUGGUGGCUUUUCCUUCAUGUUCAAAAUCUGGACUUUGGCUGGCCCCCAGCUGAUAAAUUUGCUCCCAGCUGAUAAACUUAGUCCCCAGAGAAAAAGGAGAAAUUUUGGAGAAGAAUGAUUGAUCAUUUCCUGAGAGAUAUGACCCAUAUAAAUGAAUUAAAGAUGCAGUUCUGCUAUCCCUCUCUGUUUCCUUCAGCAGACAUUACACCAGGAAAACUCCUGGGAGACUUAAUCGAAUCAUCUUGCUUGUGUGCACUAGAUCUUGCUGCCUAGGAGAUGUACAACUGGCAUAUCUAAUAGGCACAGUGUUCCCAAAGUGUUUAAAAAUAGGAACCCCGUGACACACAAAGGUAGAAAUUUUAAUUAGCAUAAUUAACAAACAUUUUCAUAUCAAAUUUACUUAUAAAGAAUAGUUAAGAGUAUCGUGAGUCCCUCAUCAUCCUUGACUAUGGAAGUAAACAUGGGUCAGAGGAGAGGAAACAUUGCAAAACCCUUUUGAAAAUAUGAUGUGAUUUUGAGACCAUCUUAUCAAAAUUAAUAAAAAAUAAAGCUUUUUCCA